RNAcentral lists this long non-coding RNA (323 nucleotides) under Setaria italica (foxtail millet). RNAcentral's name for it is "long non-coding RNA (SITA_LNC000219)". Lineage: Eukaryota; Viridiplantae; Streptophyta; Magnoliopsida; Poales; Poaceae. The record is from RNAcentral.
CGUGAAGUUCAUAAUAAUGACCUCCUUUGUGAAACAUAUUUUUUUAGACAAGGUUUGGAUUAUGUUGUUCCAUACAACUAUCCAAAUCAACUUCAUAUCAGACGUGAUCAACUAGCUACUCUUUAGGAAGUUAGUUUGAUAAAUCAGAAUGCAUCGAGGCUAACACAGCGUGAGAUUGAUAUUAUUAAUGGCCAUAAGCUUUUGAAGUUCAUGAGAAAUCGGUUGGCUCACCGUAUGGAAGCUAUACAAGCCGGCUAUACGACUUGGAAUCAGCAGUUUCAGUAUGAUUUCUCAGCUAUCAAUAGUGAGAUGGUAACUAGAGU